Molecule: ribosomal RNA, 459 nt
Filed under: uncultured bacterium
Lineage: Bacteria
Description: partial 16S ribosomal RNA
Rfam family: Bacterial small subunit ribosomal RNA
Source: RNAcentral
CCUACGGGGGGCAGCAGUGAGGAAUAUUGGUCAAUGGGCGAGAGCCUGAACCAGCCAAGCCGCGUGAGGGAUGAAGGUACAGAGUAUCGUAAACCUCUUUUGUCAGGGAACAAAGGCGGGGACGUGUCCCCGGAUGAGUGUACCUGAAGAAAAAGCAUCGGCUAACUCCGUGCAAGCAGCCGCGGUAAUACGGAGGAUGCGAGCGUUAUCCGGAUUUAUUGGGUUGAAAGGGUGCGCAGGCGUUCGGUUAAGUCAGCGGUCAAAGCCCGGGGCUCAACCCCGGCCAGCCGUGGAAACUGGCAGGCUCGAGUUGGAGAGAAGUAGGCGGAAUUAGCGGUGUAGCGGGGAAAUGCAUAGAUAUCGCGCAGAACUCCGAUUGCGAAGGCAGCAUGCCGGCUCCACACUGACGCUGAGGCACGAAAGCGUGGGUAUCGAACAGGAUUAGAUACCCGAGUAGUC